RNAcentral lists this ribosomal RNA (251 nucleotides) under uncultured bacterium. Its description in RNAcentral is "partial 16S ribosomal RNA". It matches the Rfam family "Bacterial small subunit ribosomal RNA", at positions 524 to 776 of the family's 1533-position model. The record is from RNAcentral.
UACGUAGGGUGCAAGCGUUAUCCGGAAUUAUUGGGCGUAAAGAGCUCGUAGGCGGUUUGUCGCGUCUGCUGUGAAACUGGAGGCUCAACCUCCAGCCUGCAGUGGGUACGGGCAAACUAGAGUGCGGUAGGGGAGAUUGGAAUUCCUGGUGUAGCGGUGAAAUGCGCAGAUAUCAGGAAGAACACCCGUGGCGAAAGCGGCUCUCUGGAACGGUACUGACGCUGAGGCACGAAAGCGUGGGAGCAAACAGG